This 528-nucleotide ribosomal RNA is filed under the name uncultured bacterium. RNAcentral describes it as "bacterial SSU rRNA". It matches the Rfam family "Bacterial small subunit ribosomal RNA", at positions 777 to 1297 of the family's 1533-position model. The record is from RNAcentral.
AAUAGAUACCCUGGUAGUCCACGCCGUAAACGGUGGGCACUAGGUGUGGGCAACAUUCCACGUUGUCCGUGCCGCAGCUAACGCAUUAAGUGCCCCGCCUGGGGAGUACGGCCGCAAGGCUAAAACUCAAAGGAAUUGACGGGGGGCCCGCACAAGCGGCGGAGCAUGUGGCUUAAUUCGACGCAACGCGAAGAACCUUACCAAGGCUUGACAUACACCGGAAACAUCCAGAGAUGGGUGCCCCCUUGUGGUCGGUGUACAGGUGGUGCAUGGCUGUCGUCAGCUCGUGUCGUGAGAUGUUGGGUUAAGUCCCGCAACGAGCGCAACCCUUGUCCCGUGUUGCCAGCAGGCCCUUGUGGUGCUGGGGACUCACGGGAGACCGCCGGGGUCAACUCGGAGGAAGGUGGGGACGACGUCAAGUCAUCAUGCCCCUUAUGUCUUGGGCUGCACACGUGCUACAAUGGCCGGUACAAUGAGCUGCGAUACCGCGAGGUGGAGCGAAUCUCAAAAAGCCGGUCUCAGUUCGGA